GGGGCUAUGGCUCAGUGGUAGAGCACUUGCCUAGCAGGCAUGAGGCACUGGGCUCGAUCCUUAGCACCA
RNAcentral lists this transfer RNA (69 nucleotides) under Ictidomys tridecemlineatus (thirteen-lined ground squirrel). RNAcentral's name for it is "Spermophilus tridecemlineatus (thirteen-lined ground squirrel) tRNA". It matches the Rfam family "tRNA". From Rfam's summary of the family: Transfer RNA (tRNA) molecules are approximately 80 nucleotides in length. Their secondary structure includes four short double-helical elements and three loops (D, anti-codon, and T loops). Lineage: Eukaryota; Metazoa; Chordata; Mammalia; Rodentia; Sciuridae. The record is from Rfam by way of RNAcentral.